This 400-nucleotide ribosomal RNA is filed under the name phytoplankton environmental sample. RNAcentral describes it as "partial small subunit ribosomal RNA". It matches the Rfam family "Eukaryotic small subunit ribosomal RNA", at positions 587 to 982 of the family's 1831-position model. The record is from RNAcentral.
AGCUCCAGUAGCGUAUAUUAAAGUUGUUGCAGUUAAAAAGCUCGUAGUUGGAUUUCUGGCACGCUGCGCUUAGCCCGGUCACGUUUGUGUACUGUGUGCUGAUGCGCGGUUGCCAUCCUUCUAGAGAACGUUUCUACCACUUCACUGGGUCGGAUUCGCAAUCUAGAUCUUUUACUUUGAAAAAAUUAGAGUGUUUAAAGCAGGCAUUUGCUAUGAAUACAUUAGCAUGGAAUAAUAAUAUAGGACUGUGGUUCUAUUUUGUUGGUUUCUAGAACUGGAGUAAUGAUUGAUAGGGAUUGUUGGGGGUGCUUGUAUUUAAUGGCCAGAGGUGAAAUUCUUGGAUUCAUUAAAGACAAACUUAUGCGAAAGCAUUCACCAAGGAAGUCUUCUUUAAUCAAGA